UUGCAACCACCAGCUGAUUGCAGUAAUCAAAUAAACCAAAGUAACAAAUACUGCAGGUAUCCACAGCUUGAAAUGUUUCGUCAUGUUUAGUCCAGUGAACUUCUCUACGUAUAUAAAACCCAACAUACAUCCCACCAACCAACAGGUGGCGACAUCCUACAGAAGCCACCCCUUGAGGGGUGACCAAUAAUGAACUCCAAUAUGCGUGUAACAUUAAAAACAUGACUACAUGAAGGUACCACCUCCCCGAAGGCAGCAAGGCCCCACAAGCCAUUAUGUUUUCAAAAAAUAGAAAAAUUAGACUACAAGCUUCAGUUAACAAAAAGGAAUUGAAUCAGUAGGAUAAAUAUAGCCUACACACACCCCCUAACAUACAGUAAGCAUGUGUGAGCAUUUUAAGAAGCAGAGGUAAGGGAAAGAUCCACAAGAAAGCUUCUGCUGUUCAGUCAUCUCCAGGGAUUAAAGCAAACUAAGUGCCUUCCUAUCAAAGAGCCAGCAGCCACCAGAAAACUUUCAGAUGCUAAACUAACACAACCUGUCCUGCAGUCAGAGGAAGAUUAUGCAAGUAACUGCCAGAUAAGUAAGGAUAUACUAUGAAAUACUCCUUUUUUGGACAUGGUUUAAUUUUUCUUUUUUUUAAACAUUCCAAGAUGAAAUGCU
This is a long non-coding RNA of Anguilla anguilla (European eel), 660 nucleotides long. RefSeq lists it as uncharacterized. The record is from RefSeq and is a predicted model, not a curated record. Lineage: Eukaryota; Metazoa; Chordata; Actinopteri; Anguilliformes; Anguillidae. The transcript is spliced from 2 exons.